GUGAGUGUAGCUCAGCUUGGUAGAGCGCUGGAUUGUGGCUCCAGUGGCCGAGGGUUCGAAUCCCUCCACUCACCCCA
Molecule: transfer RNA, 77 nt
Filed under: Acidobacteriota bacterium
Lineage: Bacteria; Pseudomonadati; Acidobacteriota
Also listed under: 2 other names
Description: Acidobacteria bacterium tRNA-His
Rfam family: tRNA
About the family: Transfer RNA (tRNA) molecules are approximately 80 nucleotides in length. Their secondary structure includes four short double-helical elements and three loops (D, anti-codon, and T loops).
Source: RNAcentral